This 207-nucleotide ribosomal RNA is filed under the name uncultured bacterium. Its description in RNAcentral is "partial 16S ribosomal RNA". It matches the Rfam family "Bacterial small subunit ribosomal RNA", at positions 568 to 774 of the family's 1533-position model. The record is from RNAcentral.
CGCGUAGGCGGUUUUGUAAGUCGGAUGUGAGAUCCCCGGGCUUAACCUGGGAACUGCAUUCGAUACUGCAUAACUAGAGUAUGGUAGAGGGAAGUGGAAUUCCGGGUGUAGCGGUGAAAUGCGUAGAUAUCCGGAGGAACACCAGUGGCGAAGGCGACUUCCUGGGCCAAUACUGACGCUGAGGUGCGAAAGCGUGGGGAGCAAACA